GACGAACGCUGGCGGCGUGCUUAACACAUGCAAGUCGAGCGGUAAGGCCCUUUCGGGGGUACACGAGCGGCGAACGGGUGAGUAACACGUGGGUGACCUGCCCUCAGCUCUGGGAUAAGCCUGGGAAACCGGGUCUAAUACUGGAUAUGACUCCAUGACGCAUGUUGUGGGGUGGAAAGCCUUGUGCGGCUGAGGAUGGGCCCGCGGCCUAUCAGCUUGUUGGUGGGGNGAUGGCCUACCAAGGCGACGACGGGUAGCCGGCCUGAGAGGGCGACCGGCCACACUGGGACUGAGACACGGCCCAGACUCCUACGGGAGGCAGCAGUGGGGAAUCUUGCGCAAUGGGCGAAAGCCUGACGCAGCGACGCCGCGUGAGGGAUGACGGCCUGGUU
Molecule: ribosomal RNA, 392 nt
Filed under: uncultured bacterium
Lineage: Bacteria
Description: bacterial SSU rRNA
Rfam family: Bacterial small subunit ribosomal RNA
Source: RNAcentral